Molecule: ribosomal RNA, 423 nt
Filed under: uncultured bacterium
Lineage: Bacteria
Description: partial 16S ribosomal RNA
Rfam family: Bacterial small subunit ribosomal RNA
Source: RNAcentral
AAUUUUGGACAAUGGGGGAAACCCUGAUCCAGCCAUCCCGCGUGUAUGAUGAAGGCCUUCGGGUUGUAAAGUACUUUUGGCAGAGAAGAAAAGGUACCUCCUAACACGCGGUACUGUUGACGGUACCUCCAGAUUAAGCACCGGCGAACCACGUGCCUGCAGCCGCGGUAAUACGUAGGGUGCAAGCGUUAAUCGGAAUUACUGGGCGUAAAGCGUGUGUAGGCGGUUCGGAAAGAAAGAUGUGGAAUCCCAGGGCUCAACCUUGGAACUGCAUUUUUAACUGCCGAGCUAGAGUAUGUCAGAGGGGGGUAGAAUUCCACGUGUAGCAGUGAAAUGCGUAGAUAUGUGGAGGAAUACCGAUGGCGAAGGCAGCUCCCUGGGAUAAUACUGACGCUCAGACACGAAAGCGUGGGGAGCAAACAG